This 253-nucleotide ribosomal RNA is filed under the name uncultured bacterium. RNAcentral's name for it is "partial 16S ribosomal RNA". It matches the Rfam family "Bacterial small subunit ribosomal RNA", at positions 524 to 776 of the family's 1533-position model. The record is from RNAcentral.
UACGUAGGGUGCGAGCGUUAAUCGGAAUUACUGGGCGUAAAGCGUGCGCAGGCGGUUCGUUGUGUCGGCGGUGAAAGCCCCGGGCUUAACCUGGGAAUGGCCGUUGAAACUGGCGAACUGGAGUGUGGCAGAGGGGGGUGGAAUUCCGCGUGUAGCAGUGAAAUGCGUAGAGAUGUGGAGGAACACCGAUGGCGAAGGCAGCCUCCUGGGCCAAUACUGACGCUCAUGCACGAAAGCGUGGGGAGCAAACAGG